CGCCAAGAGCCAAAGAUGCCCUGCGAAGAGCUACGGCGGGAGGGGCCCGCUGGCAGCCUUAUGGUUCCCCACACCCCGGCUCGCUGAAGCUUCUCACCUCCUGGGCACAGCCGUAGGCCAGCCACUCCUGUCGGUAGCGAUCAAAACCACUGGAGCAUCUGCCAGGGGACCAGAAGAGGAGUCCACCAAGCCCAACUCAAGCUCUGGGACAUGUGCAUGGGAAGAAUAAUAUCAUGAGCCACCACUGCUGAGAAAGGAUUCAUGGCCAGUUAAUUUUCUUCACUAGCAACCGCCCACCCAUCUGCCAGAGACCUGGACUGAACCUUUGAUGUAAGUCUAAGAACAUCACAUUCUAAGACCUGAGCCAACCAACCCAGAUGCAGAGAAGAAAGGCCUGAGAUAUGGCCACUAAUGAGCGCCUCCUGAAUGCCAAGUGCCGCCCCAGCCAUAUGCUGCUCCUGUCCUGUUUCAUGGGACCCUCCCAGUGACACUGGAAAGCAAGGAUUAUGGCCCCUCAUUCCCUGGGCCAAAUCCUGGAGUCACCCCAAGACUCCAGAGUGGGCCCUUGGCGGGGUGGGGGCAAUGUGGGAUGAAAGGAAGACAGCGGCCAUGAUUUAUUUAUUUGAGAGAGAGAGAGAGAGAGAGGGCACGCGUGAGCAUGAGGAGGGGCAGAAGGAGAGGGAGAGAGAAAAUCCUCAAACAGACUUCAAGCUGAGUGCAGAGCCUGCCACGGGGUUCGACCCCAGGACCCCAAGAGCAUGACCUGAGCCGAAACCAAGAGUGGGAUGCUUAACCGACUGCACCACCCAGGCGCCCUGAGGCAAUCUUUCAACAACUAUGUAUUGAGCACCUGCCACAGACCCUGUCCCAGCUGCUGGAGAUACAGUGGUGAACAGGGAAAGACAGACAGACGCACUGCCUGCCCGGAGCCUGGAGUCUAGAGCAGGAGACGGCCUACAG
Molecule: long non-coding RNA, 960 nt
Organism: Mirounga angustirostris (Northern elephant seal)
Lineage: Eukaryota; Metazoa; Chordata; Mammalia; Carnivora; Phocidae
Exons: 4
Source: RefSeq, a predicted model, not a curated record